Molecule: long non-coding RNA, 3246 nt
Filed under: Sus scrofa (pig)
Lineage: Eukaryota; Metazoa; Chordata; Mammalia; Artiodactyla; Suidae
Description: lncRNA (ENSSSCG00065029117.1)
Source: RNAcentral
UUUUUUUUUUUUUUUUAAGGGAGAAAAGAAAGAAAGAGGGAAAGAAAGGAAGGCAACCUAUAGAAUGAGAAUACAUACACAAAUCAUGUAUCUGAUACGGACCUAGUGUCCAGAAUAUAUAAAGAAUAGUUACAACUAAAAACAGAAAGACGAGCAGCCCAAUUAAAAAAUGGGCAAUGGAUUUGAAUAGAUACCACUCCAAAUAUAUAAAAAUGGCUAAGAAGCCCAUGAAAAGAUGCUCAACGUCACUCGUUAUUAAGGAAAUGCCAAGCCAACCAAGAUGAGACAGCACCUUACACUCACUAGGUUGGCUGUAGUACACAAAUGGAAAAUAACACAUGCUGGUGAGGAUGUGGAGACACUGGGGUCCUCAUAUCCUGCUGAUGGAAAUGUAAAAACGGUGCAACUGCUACGGAAAACAGUCCUUCCUCAAAAUGUUAAAAACAGAAUUACUGUAUGACCCAGCAAUUCAACCCCUAGGUAUAUACCUCAAAGAAUUAAAAACAGCAACACAAACAAAUACUUGUACAUGCAUGAUCAUGGCAGCGCUAAUCACAACAGUCAAAAGGUGGAAAGAGCUCAAAUGUCCAUCAAAUGGAUGAAUGGACAAACUGUGGUAUACAGAUACCAUGUAAUAUUAUCCAGUCAGAAAAAGGAAUGAAAUAUUUAUAUCGGCAACACACGGACAAACCUCAAAAACAUUACACUAAGUGGGAGAAGCUAUAUGAAAAAGGUUACACAUGCUAUGAUUCCAUUCAUAUGAAACAUCCAGAAUAGGUUAAGUCCAGGGGGACAGAAAACAGGUCAGUGGUUGCCAGGGACUUAGGGGAGAAGAGAACAGCGAAUGACUGCUCACUGGACAUGGGUUUCCUUCUGGGGUGAAGGGAUGUUUGGGAACUAGAUAGAGGGAGCACACUGCAUACACGUACUUUCAUUCUGUACUAGAUGUCACUGAAUUGUCCACUUUAAAAUGGUGAAUUUUGUAGUUCCCAUUGUGGAGCAGUGGUUAACGAAUUCAACUAGGAACCACGAGGUUGCAGGUUCGCUCUCUGGCCUUGCUCAGUGGGUUAAGGAUCUGGCGUUGUUGCCGUGAGCUGUGGUAUGGGUCGCAGACGCUGCUCGGAUCCCGAAUUGCUGUGGCUCUGGCGUAGGCCGGUGGCUACAGCUCUGAUUAGACCCCUAGCCUGGGAACCACCAUAUGCCUCGGGAGCAGCCCUAGAAAAGGCAAAAAAAAAUAAAUAAAUUUAAAAAAUAAAAUAAAAUGGUGAAUUUUAUAUUAAGUGAAUUCCAACUCAAUAAAAGAAAUGUUUCUGAGACUGAUCCAUGAUGCCGUGUAUAGUCCAUUAUAAGAAUAUACCACAAUUUGGUCAUCAAUUCAUGGGCUGAUUAAUAUUUAGGUCUAAUCAAUCCAGUUUAUUUAAUAUAAGUAACCAACUAUGAAUAUUUUUCUAUAAAUAUUUUUAAAGGCAUGUUUCACUGAUUUGGGGUAAAUACCUAAAGGUGCCUCAUUUCACAAAAAUAAGUCUAAAAAAAGUGUUAUCAGUCAUAAUAUAACUGAAAUCAAAGCUGAAAACCAGGUGCAGGCAUUAAAGCAAUGAUGCUUUAAUCCUUAAGCUCAGCAGAUUCAAGACAAUAGUACAUGUUCAAUUACAAAGAUAAAGAAGAAAACUAAACAACAAGGAUGAUAUGUUAAUACUAUGUUAGCAAAACUAUUAUCUGAAAAUUGAAUCAGUCAUCUUUUAACUGCCUUGAUUUUCAAGGGAACCGAACUCUCUUUCUCAGGCAUUUUCAGGAAUGAAUUACCUGAGAGUGAAAGGGCUAUCUGAGAAGCCGGGGCAAAAAUUGAGAGGAAACCCUAGAAUGAGAUUGCCUGAGUUUGUAGUCCAACUAUGCCACUUGAUAGUUACUUAAACAUGUUGGCCCUCCGUUUCCUCAUCUUAAAAAUAGGUGAUAAUAUCUACCCCAGAAAGUUGUUCUGAUGAUCAAAUGAGUUAAUCUACAGAGUAUGCUGGAACAGCGUCUGGUGCCUUAUGAGCUGGCUGCUGCCAGCAUCACCUGCCACCGCCGCCACCACCAUCAUCGUCAUUAUCACGGAUCGUCAGUCAUGACGUCCACGUUCUAAAAUAUCUUUAAGGAGUUCCCUGGUGGCCUAGCCAUUACGGAUCUGGCAUUGUCAUUGUUGUGGCUCAGGUCACACUGCCCUGGCACAGAUUUUAUCCCUAGCCCGGGAACCUCCGUCUGCCACGGGAGCAGCCAAAUAAAAUAAAAUAUCCUUAAGACAGUUUAAGAUAUCUGUGGUUGUUCAACUGAACAGCACUGAAAGUUAACAAAAACAUGCAACUAUUAACAAGAACGUACUAUAUAGCACAGGAAAAUCUACACAAUAGUUUUUAAUAACCUAUAUGGGAAAAAAGAAUAGACAUUUAUAUGUAUGACUGAUUUACUUUACUGUCCCCCCAAACUAACACAACAUUGUAAAUCAAUUAUACUCCAAUAAAAUUGUUUCAAACAUGCAAGUAAUUCGGGUAUUUACCUAGCUACCAGAGAAACUCAAAACUCAAAUAAUUUACUGUCAAUACAGUUAAAAAUGGAUCCUUAGGAGUUCCCGUUGUGGCUCAGUGGUUAACGAAUUCAACUAGGAACCAUGAAGUUUCAGGUUUGAUCCCUGGCCUUGCUCAGUGGGUUAAGGAUCCGGCGUUGCUGUGAGCUGUGGUAUAGGUCGCAGACUCGGCUUGGAUCCCAAGUUGCUGCCGAUGGCCAUGGCUCCAAUUCGACCCCUACCUGGGAACUUCCAUAAACCACAGGUGUGUGUGUGGGGGGGAAGUUUACUAAGAAAGUUUACAGAAUUCUCAGAGUUUUCUUUUCCUAUUAACAUGCUUGAAUAUAAACUUUUUUUUUUUUUUAAAGAACCACAUCUGUGGCAUGUGAAAGUUCCCUGGCUAGGGGUCAAAUCAGAACUACAGCUGCCAGCCUACACCACAGCCACAGAGACUCGGGAUCUUUAACCCACUGAGCGAGGCCAGGGAUGGAACCCGCAUCAUCAUGGAUCUCAGUUGGGUUCGUUAACCGCUGAGCCACGGAGGGAACUCCCGCUUGAAUAUAAACUUUAACGCAAAUGUGGAAAUCCAACAGUUAUUAAAGCACCUAACAAAAUAACAUACACAUUUUAGAAAUAAUGGUAGUUACAAACCUUCAAUUUUUCUUUUUUUUUCCUUUUUAAUGGCCACAUCCUUAGCAUAUAGAAAU